RNAcentral lists this ribosomal RNA (439 nucleotides) under uncultured bacterium. Its description in RNAcentral is "partial 16S ribosomal RNA". It matches the Rfam family "Bacterial small subunit ribosomal RNA", at positions 339 to 795 of the family's 1533-position model. The record is from RNAcentral.
CUACGGGACGCACCAGUGGGGAAUAUUGCACAAUGGAGGAAACUCUGAUGUAGCAACGCCGCGUGGAGGAUGACACUUUUCGGAGCGUAAACUCCUUUUAUAUAGGAAGAAGAUGACGGUACUAUAUGAAUAAGCGCCGGCUAACUCCGUGCCAGCAGCCGCGGUAAUACGGAGGGCGCAAGCGUUACUCGGAAUCACUGGGCGUAAAGAGCGUGUAGGCGGAUUAAAAAGUCAGAAGUGAAAUCCUAUAGCUUAACUAUAGAACUGCUUCUGAAACUCUUAAUCUAGAAUAUGGGAGAGGUAGAUGGAAUUUCUGGUGUAGGGGUAAAAUCCGUAGAGAUGAGAAGGAAUACCGAUUGCGAAGGCGAUCUACUAGAACAUUAUUGACGCUGAGACGCGAAAGCGUGGGGAGCAAACAGGAUUAGAUACCCGCGUAGUC